CUGGUUGAUCCUGCCAAAGGUUACUGCUAUCGAGAUUCGACUAACCCAUGCGAGUGGAAUGUUCUUCGUGAACAUGGCGAACUGCUCAGUAACACGUGGACAACCUACCCUUGGGUUCGGCAUAAUCCUGGGAAACUGGGGAUAAUACCGGAUAGGUCACAGAUGCUGGAAUGCACUGUGGCUCAAAGCUCCGGCGCCCAAGGAUGGGUCUGCGGCCUAUCAGGGUUGUAGUGGGUGUAAUGUACCUACUAGCCUACGACGGGUACGGGUUGUGAGAGCAACAGCCCGGAGAUGGAUUCUGAGACACGAAUCCAGGCCCUACGGGGUGCAGCAGGCGCGAAAACUUUACAAUGCGGGAAACCGUGAUAAGGGAAUCUCGAGUGCCAGCAUAUAAUGUUGGCUGUCCAGAUGCCUAAAAAGCAUCUGUUAGCAGGGGCCGGGCAAGACCGGUGCCAGCCGCCGCGGUAACACCGGCGGCCCGAGUGGUAACCGCUAUUAUUGGGUCUAAAGGGUCUGUAGCCGGCCAGGUAAGUCCCUUGGGAAAUCUGGCAGCUCAACUGUCAGGCUGCUAGGGGAUACUGUUUGGCUUGGGACCGGGAGAGGUGAGAGGUACCUUGGGGGUAGGGGUGAAAUCUUGUGAUCCUCGGGGGACCACCAGUGGCGAAGGCGUCUCACCAGAACGGGUCCGACGGUAAGGGACGAAAGCUAGGGGCACGAACCGGAUUAGAUACCCGGGUAGUCCUAGCCGUAAACGAUGCUCGCUAGGUGUCAGUCACGGUGCGACCGUGAUUGGUGCCGUAGGGAAGCCGUGAAGCGAGCCACCUGGGAAGUAUGGCCGCAAGGCUGAAACUUAAAGGAAUUGGCGGGGGAGCACUAC
This 877-nucleotide ribosomal RNA is filed under the name uncultured archaeon. RNAcentral describes it as "bacterial SSU rRNA". It matches the Rfam family "Archaeal small subunit ribosomal RNA", at positions 4 to 882 of the family's 1478-position model. The record is from RNAcentral.